CUACUCUCUUUUCUCUUUCUCUUUUUCUUUCUCCUAUAAAUCUUUCCUUCUGUUGUUCAGAUUGAUCAAUGGCUUCUUAAUCUUGCAGCUAGCUCUGAGCAAAUGCGGCCAAUAUGUUGCCUUUAUCUGCAUUUGCACCUGCACCUUACUUUUGUUUUCUUGAAAAAGUUCAAGAAUCAAGAUUUUAAUUUCUUUCUCUUAUCUGCAUACCCACCAGAGAUUUUUUUUUUUUUUAAUUUUGAUUCUAGAGAAGUUGGAAACAAAGGGAAUAAAGGUGCAGGUGUGAGUGCAGGUGAAUGCCAUUUUGGCUACUUUGAUGAUGAUGAUGGUGGUGGUGGUGAUGUAUAUGAUCAGGAUAAUAUAUAUAUAUAUAUUUCACAAUCCACAAAAUUUUCUGCUUAUGUACGGCCCUUUUCUUGCUUCUUGCUGAGCUUAGAUGCUGAUUUUGAUUUAUAGAUGAGAUGGGUUUUCCAAGACUAUAUGCCUUUUAUGUGCUACUUCAAGGGAGAGGCUAAUUAUCCCUAUGGGAUUAGCCGAUUGGGAGUAAUCUUUGAGCUUUUUAUCUAUCAAUCGAUGUUUUUUCUUUAUUAGUUUCUUUUAAGCAGAGAUCCAUGAGUAUACUAUAUCUGCAACGCACUUCUUUGGCUCUUUAUAGUUUAUGCAGAUCUCCACCACACAGCUAGGGUUUUCUCAAGGUAACUGAAAAUUAACCUCCUUUCUAAUCUCUAUCUUUCUCUCUCUCUCUCUCUCUCUCUC
Molecule: unclassified non-coding RNA, 756 nt
Filed under: Hevea brasiliensis (rubber tree)
Lineage: Eukaryota; Viridiplantae; Streptophyta; Magnoliopsida; Malpighiales; Euphorbiaceae
Rfam family: MIR530 microRNA precursor family (bases 108-309)
Source: RNAcentral